This 465-nucleotide ribosomal RNA is filed under the name uncultured bacterium. Its description in RNAcentral is "partial 16S ribosomal RNA". It matches the Rfam family "Bacterial small subunit ribosomal RNA", at positions 28 to 507 of the family's 1533-position model. The record is from RNAcentral.
GACGAACGCUGGCGGCGUGCUUAACACAUGCAAGUCGUACGGUAAGGCCCUUUCGGGGGUACACGAGUGGCGAACGGGUGAGUAACACGUGAGUAACCUGCCCACAACUUUGGGAUAACGCUAGGAAACUGGUGCUAAUACUGGAUAUGUGCUCCUGCUGCCUGGUGGGGGUUGGAAAGCUCCGGCGGUUGUGGAUGGACUCGCGGCCUAUCAGCUUGUUGGUGGGGUAGUGGCCUACCCAGGCGGCGACGGGUAGCCGGCCGGAGAGGGUGGCCGGCCACAUUGGGACUGAGAUACGGCCCAGACUCCUACGGGAGGCAGCAGUGGGGAAUAUUGCACAAUGGGCGCAAGCCUGAUGCAGCAACGCCGCGGGCGGGAUGACGGCCUUCGGGUUGUAAACCGCUUUCAGCAGGGACGAAGCUUUUUGUGACGGUACCUGCAGAAGAAGCACCGGCUAACUACGUG